This 447-nucleotide ribosomal RNA is filed under the name uncultured bacterium. RNAcentral's name for it is "partial 16S ribosomal RNA". It matches the Rfam family "Bacterial small subunit ribosomal RNA", at positions 29 to 523 of the family's 1533-position model. The record is from RNAcentral.
AACGAACGCUGGCGGCAGGCCUAACACAUGCAAGUCGAACGCUCCGCAAGGAGAGUGGCAGACGGGUGAGUAACACGUGGGAAUCUUCCUAUCGGUGGGGAAUAGCUCAGGGAAACUUGGGGUAAUACCGCAUACGCCCGUAAGGGGAAAGAUUUAUCGCCGAUAGAUGAGCCCGCGUCUGAUUAGCUAGUUGGUGGGGUAAUGGCCCACCAAGGCGACGAUCAGUAGCUAGUUUGAGAGAAUGACCAGCCACGCUGGGACUGAGACACGGCCCAGACUCCUACGGGAGGCAGCAGUGGGGAAUCUUGGACAAUGGGCGCAAGCCUGAUCCAGCCAUGCCGCGUGAGUGACGAAGGUCUUCGGAUUGUAAAGCUCUUUUAGCAGGGACGAUAAUGACGGUACCUGCAGAAUAAGCCCCGGCUAACUUCGUGCCAGCAGCCGCCGUAA